CUCUUUACACAUGGAAGUCGAACGGCAGCACGGGUGCUUGCACCUGGUGGCGAGUGGUUACCCGGUGAGUAAUGCAUCGGAACGUACCGAGUAAUGGGGGAUAACGCAUCGAAAGGUGUGCUAAUACCGCAUACGCCCUGAGGGGGAAAGUGGGGGAUCGCAAGACCUCACGUUAUUCGAGCGGCCGAUGCCUGAUUAGCUAGUUGGUGAGGCAAAGGCUCACCAAGGCGACGAUCAGUAGCUGGUCUGAGAGGAUGAUCAGCCACACUGGAACUGAGACACGGUCCAGACUCCUACUGGAGGCAGCAGUGGG
This 313-nucleotide small RNA is filed under the name uncultured bacterium. RNAcentral's name for it is "bacterial SSU rRNA". It matches the Rfam family "Bacterial small subunit ribosomal RNA", at positions 47 to 358 of the family's 1533-position model. The record is from RNAcentral.